Molecule: long non-coding RNA, 1687 nt
Organism: Corvus hawaiiensis (hawaiian crow)
Lineage: Eukaryota; Metazoa; Chordata; Aves; Passeriformes; Corvidae
Exons: 3
Source: RefSeq, a predicted model, not a curated record
UCCCGCCCCGCACCGCCGCUCGCUCGCCCCCCCACCUGCGGGACUUACUUCAUUUGCUUCACGAUGGUGCUUUUUCCCGACUCUCCGGCUCCUGUUGGAAAAGAGAUGAGCAGCAUUUGUCCUCAGCCAUUUGCCACUGCUGGGAGAGGAAAAAAAAGAAAAUAAGCUCUGUGUGAGAUCAAGAUUUCAACGCAUUACACACCAAAACAUUUGUUGCUAUUUACUUUUAAAAGUGCCCUUCUGAGGCUGCACGGCUACAGCUGCCAUCUGUUCGGGAUUACGCUUUGGAACUCCUGGUUUCUCUGCAAACCUCCCGCCUGGCGCUGCUCCGCUGGCAGAGGGAAGAGGUGGUGGGGACAGGGCUGGCUGCAAGGAAACAGCACCUUCACAGCUGGAGCUGCAAUCCUGGUUGUCAGGGGACCACCAAGAUGGAAAAAGAUUGCAGUUAGUGAAGGUGACUCCAGAGCAUUUUUUCCAAGAGUCAGUGAGAUAUUCAUUACGUGUUUGUUGAAACACCAGAGAGGGCCAUGACAGGAGUGUUGCUACUCAUCUCUGUUUAGUCAGACAGCAGGGUGAUGUGGCUAGCAUGUACCUGGGCCCCUGCAAAAACCUCUGCCCAGCUCAGCUCCUGAGCUGUGUGAGGUGGUGGCAGGACAGAGUUUUUCAAGGUGCAGGGGAAAAACACCAUCCCCUGAAGUGGCAGGAGCACAGCUGUGUCGUGGAGUCCAUCUCGCAGGCGGGGUUUGUGCAAAAGGUCUAAGCAAAGUCUCUGAGAUUCAUUUGGCAAGGAAAAGGAUGGACCUUCUGUUGCCAGAUGUGCAGGCCCUGCUCUGAACUUACAAUUUUCAAUGGCUCCAAGAGCUUUCACUAUUCCCUGCAGAUGGUGGGAAGCUGGAGAGUCCCACUGACCAGCUGCAAACCCAAUGGAGAUGCUGGCACAGCAUUUUCCUCCCUGCUUGGAUCUGCCUUACAAGCUCUAAUGGCAACAGAUGCUAAUUGUUAACAUAACAGUCGUCACCUUUGUGGCUGUAACUCUUCUCUACGUGUCCCUGUACCCUUAGCCCAUCCCAGCUCCCACAUUACUGAUAUGACAAAUGGUUAAGCUACGCAGGAGCUUGGAGAUGGGUCUGUGUUUACCAGCUUUGCAAAUCAAAAAAAUGAUGUAAUAAAGGCUGAACUCAGGGUAUUGCUUGAGCCUGUGUCGGAGAAUUCUGGCUGCCUGAAAGGGUCCUGCUUUUUGCAACAUGGACUUCUGAGGCCAAAUUAAUGAAAUUUCUGAGAGACACAAAAAAUGAGCACUGUUUUUCACAAGUAUUCAGCAAACAAGAAUUCUUGUUGUGCCAGGCUGUACAGAUGAAGGAAAUUUGUUUCUCUGGGCUGGAUUCUGGAUGCCUUUUUUGCAUUUUUUGACUUGUGAGCUUGGAUAUCUGGGGAAAGUCUGAAUUAUGGAUGAUACAGUAGCACGGUUCCUCUGGGUCCCCAGUAUGUGCUCUGAGUCCCCAAUACACUUCUGCUACAGAGGCUAAAUGGAUCUGCUUUUCUAGAUAGUCUCUUACUCAGAUUUGUAAUUACAGCCAGAAAUAAUAAAUUUUUUAGAAACUGACAGAGUUUAACCUCCCAAGUGGUGAGCAGUUUUUAAAAAUUGCCCUGGUGCAUCUCAGUGACUUGAGUAAAUUAGAGAAAUAUA